RNAcentral lists this transfer RNA (103 nucleotides) under Ruminiclostridium sp. RNAcentral's name for it is "tRNA-OTHER". Lineage: Bacteria; Bacillati; Bacillota; Clostridia; Eubacteriales; Oscillospiraceae. The record is from RNAcentral.
GCACUAUUACCAUAGGUUGCAAGAAAUUAGCAAAGGAUACUAAAAAUAUUAAUCCUGACUCUUAAUCAGGGUGUCCAGGGUUCGAGCCCCUGAUGGUGUACCA